UAUGGGAUAAAGCUUGGUGGUUGUAUCAGUACAUUUUUAUUGUUGUGAUAAAACAUUAUGACCAAGACAGCUUAUAGAAGAGUUUAUUUGGGUGUAUAGUUCCAGAGAGGUAAGAGUCUGUCCUGACAAGGAAGCUGUGGCAGCAAGUGGCAGGUAUGGCUACAGGAGCAGGAAGCAGAAAGAGCAAACUAGAAACAGUUGAGGUUUUUUAAUAGGAAAGCCCACUCCCCUAAUGAUGUCCUUCCCCUAGCAGACCACAAGUCCUAACCCUCCCUACACAGCACCACCAGCUGGGGAGUUCAAAUGUCUGGGACUGCAGGGGACAUCUCAUUCAGACCACCUCAGUGGGAGAAUGCUUGCCUUCAUAGUAUGUGCAAGGCCCUAGGUUCAAUUCUAGCCAAGAAAAGAGAACAUGAGGAAAGAAAAGAAGGUGGGAGAGAGUAGAGAAAGAAGAGAAGAAGAGGAAAAAGGAAGGGAAGGGGGAGACAGAGGAAAGCAGGGAAGCAGAGGAGAGGAGAAGAGAAAGAAAAGAUUAACCAGCCUGGUUUUUAAUAGCACCCCUCCCACUCUCAGUAGUUCCCAAUUUGAGCAUUAAGUUCAAGACUGAUAGAUAUUUCUGGGUGGGUGACCAGUGUGGUCAUAAACAUGGUGACUUUUGCUCUCCGUACAACUUGUGAUUAUGAACUUGUUAGAUGAUCAGCUUCAACAGGAGAGGGCCUCCUUUAGUCUCAGGUGCCCCCUCCAGCCACCCUGGGACUCGCAGCCUCUCUGUGAUGAGACACAGGACAUUAACUGGUAUGGUUCUGCUUUGCCAAAACGUCAGUCCAUGGUUGAACUCUCCACAAUGAGAAAGAAGCUUUGAGAAUCAUUACAUGGCAUCAGGCAAGCCAGGACUGAUGGAGCCUGAGAAAGGGCCAGGAGCAUCCGCAGGUUUUGGCACCCAGUACUAACUAGUAAAAGCACCUCAUAGGUUUCUUUAAAAUGCAAACACUAAGGAAAAUCUAACUUUUUUUUAUUUAUUAAGGCCAUUCAUUUUAUUUUAUAAGUAUUUUGCCUGUAUACAUAUGUACCACAUGCAUACAAGGUCAAAAGAUAGUAUUGGGUCUUCGAACUGGAGGUACAGAUGAUUGUGAGCUGCCAUGUGGAUCCUCGAAAUUGAACCUAGGUCGUCUACAAGAGCAGGAAGUGCUCUUAACUUCUGAGCCAUCUCUCCAGCUCCAGAAAAGCUACUCAUAAAAGUCAAAUCUAAGCCAUGUGUCUGGUGAUGUACACCUUUAAUUGUAGCACAUGGAAGGCGGAAGUAGGCGGAUUGUUAUUCAUCCAAGGCCAGUCUUCUCUUAACAGUGACAAAAACAAAACCAAACCCGAAACCUGUUACUUUGCACUUUAGAGUAUAAGUGAUAGAGAAAAGACACAGAAAUUUUAGAAUCUAUACCUUAAAAUACCUUAUGGCUUAUAUGAUACUGUUGGGACCAUAUUUACUUAUGGAAUGC
RNAcentral lists this long non-coding RNA (1493 nucleotides) under Mus musculus (house mouse). Its description in RNAcentral is "long non-coding RNA chr2:131010878-131012371". The record is from RNAcentral. Lineage: Eukaryota; Metazoa; Chordata; Mammalia; Rodentia; Muridae.